GCAUGUAUGGCUGAGCGGUCGAAAGCGACAGACUCAUAAUCUGUUUUCGUAAGAACGUCACAGGUUCGAGUCCUGUUGCAUGUA
Molecule: transfer RNA, 84 nt
Filed under: Castanea mollissima (Chinese chestnut)
Lineage: Eukaryota; Viridiplantae; Streptophyta; Magnoliopsida; Fagales; Fagaceae
Also listed under: 2 other names
Rfam family: tRNA
About the family: Transfer RNA (tRNA) molecules are approximately 80 nucleotides in length. Their secondary structure includes four short double-helical elements and three loops (D, anti-codon, and T loops).
Source: Rfam by way of RNAcentral